ACUCCAUGGUGAGGACAAGAUCUAGUGUAACCCUUCAAUCUUUCCCAAGCUUCAUUGGGGCC
Molecule: non-coding RNA, 62 nt
Organism: Arabis alpina (gray rockcress)
Lineage: Eukaryota; Viridiplantae; Streptophyta; Magnoliopsida; Brassicales; Brassicaceae
Source: Rfam